CCUACGGGGGGCAGCAGUGGGGGAUAUUGCACAAUGGGGGAAACCCUGAUGCAGCGACGCCGCGUGGGUGAAGAAGCGCCUCGGCGCGUAAAGCCCUGUCAGCAGGGAAGAAAAUGACGGUACCUGAAGAAGAAGCCCCGGCUAACUACGUGCCAGCAGCCGCGGUCAUACGUUGGGGGCAAGCGUUAUCAGGAUUUACUGGGUGUAAAGGGGGCGCAGACGGCGAUGCAAGACAGGAAUGAAAGCCCGGGGGCCAACCCCGGGACUGCUCUUGGUACUGCGUGACUAGAGUGAGGGAGGGGCAGGCGGAAUUCCAGGUGUAGCGGUGAAAUGCGUAGAUAUAAGGAGGAACACCGGAGGCGAAGGCGGCCUGCUGGACUGCAACUGACGUUGAGGCCCGAAAGCGUGGGGAGCAAACAGGAUUAGAUACCCUUGUAGUC
This 440-nucleotide ribosomal RNA is filed under the name uncultured bacterium. Its description in RNAcentral is "partial 16S ribosomal RNA". It matches the Rfam family "Bacterial small subunit ribosomal RNA", at positions 338 to 795 of the family's 1533-position model. The record is from RNAcentral.